Molecule: ribosomal RNA, 1582 nt
Filed under: Triticum aestivum (bread wheat)
Lineage: Eukaryota; Viridiplantae; Streptophyta; Magnoliopsida; Poales; Poaceae
Description: partial small subunit ribosomal RNA
Source: RNAcentral
GGGAAAAAACCCCAUCCAAAUCCACAUCCACAUCGUGUGGCCCGACCCCAAAGGUCCUCCCAACCACCGACCGCCGCUCUCCUCUCCUCUGCCCCGACCACGCCGGCGCCCCAACUCCGGCGGCCCCCUCUCCUUCUUCUUCUUCUUCUUCUUCUGGAUUUCUUCAUCUGACCCUCCCCUGCGGUUGGCUUCUGCAGGCCAUCACAAAUUCGCCAUGGCACCCAGCCCCAGAUCUGACAGACAAGGGUCUAGGUGCGGCCGGAUCCAAGACCAAGCACCCCUGCGGUUGAUUUCGAUCUGCUCUGCAGGCCAUCACAAUGGAAGGAGGAGCACCAUGGCGGGCGUGCAGGCCAUCGCCUAGGCGGGACCCACGGCCAGAUGCAGGGCGGCUCCAAACCAUAACUCCCUCUUCUUUGAUGGCCGGGGAGGACGACGGGGAGGGGGGUCAGGAGGAGCCAGCGCCAUAAUGGAGGGCCCUCUUCUUUGAUGGGCAUUCCGUUCCAGCUCCAAUCCCAGCAGGUCAAAGUGCAAGGUUGCCGUGCUUGUGGUCUGCUCACCUUCACUUCAGCCGCAGCAUCCGCUUCCCCAGCUGCUCCUCUUCCGCUCCGCUCCAUGUGUUUAUCCUGCCAAGGAGCGCGGACGGACGCGCGCUCGGGGUGGCUGCUGUUGCGCCCAGCAGCAGAGGACGCUAGCUAGUCUCCGUGCGCCGGCAACGGCAACGACUUCUUGCACGUAAGGAAAUUCUUUUUAUUGGCUCUGUAGGGAUGGGUCCUCGUGUUAUCCCAUCAACAAAGGAGAGGAACAGGGUUUAUCAUGAUUAUCCCACCGCUCUCCUGCUGCUCCGACCCUAGUGCCGGCCGACGCCAUCGAAGGACAGCAGGCUGAUGUUUGCAAUCAUGGUGUGAAUGGCCACCUGUCGCUUGCAACAGCAAACAACAGCUAGAGUGUAAUUAGUACGUGAUUGGUGACGUAUCUGCACUUGCGAUGAACUCCUUUCGAUUCGUGGAUGGGGACAGAGUCACCACAGCGAUUCUUCUUCCACUCCGCGCCCUGCCCCUCUUGUCUUCUUCCACUCCGGCAUAGCUAGCUGGUUCAUUACCGAGCCACGCCACCGUGCGGUGAUUCUUCUUCCACUUAGACGUCUCCCCUUCCUGUUGCUCUUUUUCCGUUCCGGCAUAUCAUAGCUCCACUAUACUAGUCGCCGUCGCCGUCGCCGCUGCCUGCCAGUCCGAUUUGAGUCGUCUCCGGAGCUCUGCUGGGUUCCUCAUUUGAACAAGGGUCUCUUUCGAUGCUUAUUCUUUUCCAGCCAAUUCUUUUCAACAAGGGUCUCUUUCGAUGUGAUCUCCCUGCUGGAUGUUUGGCUGUGUCUCCUUGAGAAACUUGGUUAUGCAACAAUUUGGUUGCAAGUUAAUUGUAAUAUAUGCUGUUUUGUUUUCCAAUCUUGCAUCAAGUUGUUAUUUUGGGUCAUAUGGAUGUUGAACAGCUCGAAUCCUGCAACUGUUGUGUACUUGGUUUCAAAUUAUAGGUUCUGUGAGCAAAAUAGAAUCUAGUGGAAUAUUGAAUAUAUCUGCAAAAUGAAGGC